AGUCGGUCUGUUGGGUUGUUAUUCCAGUGAUGAUUUUGGGAUGACUGCGAGACAUCACAUUUUAAUCGGAGCAAUUGUAUCAUACAUUGUGUGCAAUUUGUCACUUUGAUGUUUUGACAAGACUUUAUUACACGUGAAUAUUCGUACAACAGUUUAAUUUGUGUGUGUACUGCGGUUCAUCAGGCCGCUAAGGUGUUACCCAUCACACUCGCAACAGAACCCGACAUUACAGGAUACAGUUGCGCCGGCCGUCAUGUUCUGGUUUCAAGGAAUUGCGUGGAAGUCGAGAAAUAGAGGUAAGUACAGGUUUUCCUCAUUUUCCUGUGCUGAAAUUGUUGUCUUUGUUGAACUCAUCUGGUCGCGCAUGCAUCGUUCUAGAAGUCUUAUUCAUACGCGAGCAC
Molecule: long non-coding RNA, 401 nt
Organism: Dalotia coriaria
Lineage: Eukaryota; Metazoa; Arthropoda; Insecta; Coleoptera; Staphylinidae
Exons: 3
Source: RefSeq, a predicted model, not a curated record